UAUAUAACCUAAAAAUUUCUCGUGGCAAAUAAUUAACUUCAAAUCAUAAAAUUAUUAUCUUUAGAAAAAUUUAUUCAAAGAUCUUUGAUGGCCUGUGGAAUUUAUUUAAAAUAUGUUUGACCGCGAACAAUAGAGAGAAACCGGAAGAAUUUAUAUGGAGAACAACGGAAACUAACCCCUGCGCUCGCUGGUAGCGAAAAGAAGUGUAAAUAAAUACACACCUUUGCACAAACCAGCGAACACAGUCGCACUUACAUAUAUAAGACAUUCGUAUAACCUAGCCAGUUGCUGCGGUGAACAGGAAUAAUAAAAAGAGAAACAGAAGAGGAAAGGACCGUUGAUAAAGAGAGGCGGCAACGGAAGCAACGCUGGAGACAUAUUAUACAUAUGAAACAGAACGAGAAGAAGAGAACGGAUACGGUUGGCGUGGCAUGUGGUACCACCCAACCGACCAAUCAGAACGGGAGGCGUUAUCUAGACGUAUAACAAUGCUUGGUGUAAUACAUAGUUCAGUGGUUCUCAACUACCCUCUAUUCAACUUUCUGACUGUAAAACGCCGAUACAAUCCGUAAAAAUCUCAUAUUUUUCAAUGUGAACGUACGAUCGAUCGAAUAAAAGCUAGAAACAUAA
Bombus terrestris (buff-tailed bumblebee) is the source of this 630-nucleotide long non-coding RNA. RefSeq lists it as uncharacterized. Lineage: Eukaryota; Metazoa; Arthropoda; Insecta; Hymenoptera; Apidae. The transcript is spliced from 2 exons. The record is from RefSeq and is a predicted model, not a curated record.